This 380-nucleotide unclassified non-coding RNA is filed under the name soil metagenome. RNAcentral describes it as "partial contains 5.8S ribosomal RNA, internal transcribed spacer 2, and large subunit ribosomal RNA". The stretch from base 1 to 120 matches the Rfam family "5.8S ribosomal RNA", at positions 35 to 154 of the family's 154-position model. The record is from RNAcentral.
GAUGAAGAACGUAGCGAAAUGCGAUAAGUAAUGUGAAUUGCAGAAUUCAGUGAAUCAUCGAAUCUUUGAACGCACCUUGCACCCUUUGGCAUUCUGAAGGGUAUGCUCGUUUGAGUGUCAUUGUACUCUCACACUCCCGAUCUUUGCAUUGGGAGCAGUGGACUUGGGUUUGCUGCUUCACCGUCGCUUACCUCAAAUAGGUUAGUGCAACUCUUGGUUGGACAUAGUACGGCGUGAUAAGUGUUCUUCGCCGGUGCCUCGCAAAGAGGGUGGCCGAUCGGGAUGUCGUGCUCCAAACCGUCUUCGGACAAUCUCUGACGACUUGACCUCACAUCGAGUAAGACUACCCGCUGAACUUAAGCAUAUCAAUAGGCGGAGGA